RNAcentral lists this ribosomal RNA (468 nucleotides) under uncultured bacterium. Its description in RNAcentral is "partial 16S ribosomal RNA". It matches the Rfam family "Bacterial small subunit ribosomal RNA", at positions 28 to 507 of the family's 1533-position model. The record is from RNAcentral.
GACGAACGCUGGCGGCGUGCUUAACACAUGCAAGUCGAACGGAAAGGCCCUGCUUUUGUGGGGUGCUCGAGUGGCGAACGGGUGAGUAACACGUGAGUAACCUGCCCUUGACUUUGGGAUAACUUCAGGAAACUGGGGCUAAUACCGGAUAGGAGCUCCUGCUGCAUGGUGGGGGUUGGAAAGUUCCGGCGGUUGGGGAUGGACUCGCGGCUUAUCAGCUUGUUGGUGGGGUAGUGGCUUACCAAGGCUUUGACGGGUAGCCGGCCUGAGAGGGUGACCGGCCACAUUGGGACUGAGAUACGGACCAGACUCCUACGGGAGGCAGCAGUGGGGAAUAUUGCACAAUGGGCGGAAGCCUGAUGCAGCAACGCCGCGUGCGGGAUGACGGCCUUCGGGUUGUAAACCGCUUUCGCCUGUGACGAAGCGUGAGUGACGGUAAUGGGUAAAGAAGCACCGGCUAACUACGUG